Long non-coding RNA from Numida meleagris (helmeted guineafowl), 1051 nucleotides. RefSeq lists it as uncharacterized. The transcript is spliced from 2 exons. The record is from RefSeq and is a predicted model, not a curated record. NCBI's taxonomy places the organism in Eukaryota, Metazoa, Chordata, Aves, Galliformes, Numididae.
AUAGGGCUAGAAUGGAACAAACAGUGAAGUGAAUCAAGUCUGUUAUCGCUGUUAGCAAGACAGCUUUUGUCUGCUAUUGAGGAUAUGAAUGUAAAGAGGAAAUACGAGAAAUGUGUAUUAGUGACGUGAGAACUGCUGCUGGUUUCCUUGAUGCACACUGCUCUUUGUCUGCUAACGAUCACCAAACAGGACCUGGGUGUUGACUGCAUUGCUGUGUGCUCAGUGCAGGGCGGGUUUCCAUCGCACCGCUCCAGCACGCCAACGCUGUGCCACUUUGCAGAAGGGAUGUGUGCCUCUGCUUUUACGAUUUCCCUUUUUCUUGCAGUUGAAUGGCUACGGUGCAUUAGGUUUUAUUACAAACCCCGGGCUUCUAGCGCCAGUGGUGCAAACCUGAGUGCUUACCUGGAUGCAGCCCAGCUUUACGCUGAUCUGACUGCGAGCUUCAGCCAAGUCAGCUAGGGACUCAUUUAUCACCCUGACGUACACGGCCCCGUAAUGACGCUGAGCGUACUGAAUUUUGAUUCCUAAAAGCCAUCCUCUAUCUGCCUUAUCUGCACGCAGUUCUGUUGCUAGCCUCCUUUUUCAUGCUCCUCUCCCCCCCCCACGUAACAAAAGCUGCCAGCAGAAUGGGACAACAGUCAGCCUGCCCAAGGCUGAGCGGCUUCCUCUAGGCAGGCUGCCACCUGAACACAAGCGACGUUCUUCCUCCGAGCCCGGAGCACGGCAGAUGGUGCAGCAACAUGCUCUGCAGCCCUCUGAAACCUCCUGGCCUGGAAGACAGGCCGGCAUGCUGGAGUCCUGGAGCGUGCCUGUGCCUGCACAGAUGGAAGAGGAAGAACAUGCUCCUGCACUCUGCAGCUCGUGAUAGAGCUCCUUGUACAAAGCUUUAUUCUGUGAGAAGUUAGGGUUGGCAGCACCGCGUCCUUACUGUCCUCAGAAUAGAAACUCAAGGGGGAAAUAGGAGGGACAAACCAAAGAGGACGCGGAUGGUUAUCCUUCCCUGUUCCAAUCCAUGGGAAAUAAAGGAGAAGCGAAAAGCUCUAGGCUUGGA